RNAcentral lists this transfer RNA (70 nucleotides) under Caudoviricetes sp. RNAcentral describes it as "tRNA-Phe". The record is from RNAcentral. Lineage: Duplodnaviria; Heunggongvirae; Uroviricota; Caudoviricetes.
GUGUCCUCAGUGUAGUGGAAGCAUGCCCGACAAAAUCGGGCGGGUCCGGUUCGAUUCCGGAAGGAUGCGA